RNAcentral lists this ribosomal RNA (393 nucleotides) under uncultured bacterium. RNAcentral's name for it is "bacterial SSU rRNA". It matches the Rfam family "Bacterial small subunit ribosomal RNA", at positions 28 to 423 of the family's 1533-position model. The record is from RNAcentral.
GACGAACGCUGGCGGCGUGCUUAACACAUGCAAGUCGAGCGGUAAGGCCCUUUCGGGGGUACACGAGCGGCGAACGGGUGAGUAACACGUGGGUGACCUGCCCUCAGCUCUGGGAUAAGCCUGGGAAACUGGGUCUAAUACUGGAUAUGACUCCACGGUGCAUGUCGUGGGGUGGAAAGCCUUGUGCGGCUGAGGAUGGGCCCGCGGCCUAUCAGCCUUGUUGGUGGGGUGANGGCCUACCAAGGCGACGACGGGUAGCCGGCCUGAGAGGGCGACCGGCCACACUGGGACUGAGACACGGCCCAGACUCCUACGGGAGGCAGCAGUGGGGAAUCUUGCGCAAUGGGCGAAAGCCUGACGCAGCGACGCCGCGUGAGGGAUGACGGCCUCGGU